GUGCCAGCCGCCGCGGUAAGACGUAGGGGGCGAGCGUUGUCCGGAUUUAUUGGGCGUAAAGAGCGCGUAGGCGGCCCGUUAAGUCGGAUGUGAAAACCCGUGGCUCAACCACGGGCCUGCAUCCGAUACUGGCGGGCUCGAGGCAGGCAGGGGAGAUCGGAAUUCCUGGUGUAGCGGUGAAAUGCGCAGAUAUCAGGAGGAACACCGGUGGCGAAGGCGGAUCUCUGGGCCUGUCCUGACGCUCAGGCGCGAAAGCUAGGGGAGCAAACAGGAUUAGAAACCCGCGUAGUCC
Molecule: ribosomal RNA, 292 nt
Filed under: uncultured bacterium
Lineage: Bacteria
Description: partial 16S ribosomal RNA
Rfam family: Bacterial small subunit ribosomal RNA
Source: RNAcentral